This is a non-coding RNA of Acanthosepion pharaonis, 112 nucleotides long. The record is from the annotation of a GenBank genome assembly. Lineage: Eukaryota; Metazoa; Mollusca; Cephalopoda; Sepiida; Sepiidae.
UACGGCCACAUAACGUUGAAACACCGGUUCUCGUACGAUCCUCGAAGUUAAGUAACGUCGGGCCUGGUUAGUAACUAGAUGGGUGAUCGCUUGGGGAUACCAGUUGCUGUUA